Molecule: transfer RNA, 59 nt
Filed under: Apis cerana (Asiatic honeybee)
Lineage: Eukaryota; Metazoa; Arthropoda; Insecta; Hymenoptera; Apidae
Description: tRNA-Pro
Source: RNAcentral
CAAAAAAUAGUUUAAUUUAAAAUGAUAAUUUUGGGAAUUAUCGAUAUUUAUAUUUUUUA